AUUGAACGCUGGCGGCAGGCUUAACACAUGCAAGUCGAGCGGAUGAGGGGUGCUUGCUCCUGGUUUCAACGGCGGACGCGUGAGUAAUGCCUAGGAAUCUGCCUGGUUGUGGGUUAUAACGUCCUCAGACGGGCGCUAAUACCGCCUACGUCCUGCGGGAGCUAGAGGGGGGUCUUCGGACAUCUCGCUCUCAUAUGAGCCUAGGUCGGAUUAGCUAGCUGGUGGGGUAAGGGCCUACUAAGGCGACGAUCCGUAACUGGUCUGACUGGGGGAUCAGUCACAUGGGAGCGGAGACAGGGUCAAGGGUCCUACGAGAGGCAGCAGUGGGGAACGUUGGACAGUAGGCGGGAGCCUGGUCCAGCGAUGGCGCGUGUGUUAAGAAGGUCUUCGGAGUGUAAAGCACUUCAAGUGGGGGGAAAGGGCAGUAAGUUAAGACCUAGCGGGUGUGACGGUACUAAGAGAAUAAGCACCGGCUAACUUCGUG
This 484-nucleotide ribosomal RNA is filed under the name uncultured bacterium. RNAcentral describes it as "partial 16S ribosomal RNA". It matches the Rfam family "Bacterial small subunit ribosomal RNA", at positions 30 to 507 of the family's 1533-position model. The record is from RNAcentral.